GAAAUCAAUUUAUUACUUCUCACUCCCGUGAGCAUGCACCUCUUCCUCAACUCGCAGAAAAAGACUCUGUCAUUUAAUGACCCUCGACGCAGGAAACGGGGGUCAUGGUUAGGAGCGCGCGCAGCAUUUCCAUCCCAAGAAAAUAGGUAUAUUGAACCUUUUUUUGACAGAAUCUCCCUUUGUAGAGCAGAAUAUUUACUGCCAGGUCACGUGAUACGGGGUGUGGCACCCACAGGUAGGCACGCGAACGCCGUGUUGGUAAACCUUAGCCGCACCCUUCGUCGAUAGCAGCAAUUAUCAAAUCCAGAAGAUUUUUCGGGGUCUAUUUUUAAUAAGUUAUUAUGGCCUCCUUUCAGCCCAUGUUUUUUUUUUUUUUUUGUUGCCUUCACUUUCGAUGGUGCUUUAUUGUCGACCGAACUCUUUAUUGAUGGAGAUACAGCGGCAUAAUCUUUUUAGUGGGUGUCAUGAGCGUGAUUAGUCAGAGAAGGAUUCAGAAUGAAUACGCCCUUGGGGAUUUAGAAGACCGAUUCUUGAGUCUCCUGCCUUCACAAAUGGCCUAAUUUGGGAGUUCGGGAAUUCGUUUAACUGAGAAGCUUGCUUAUCGACAAACGUUUAACCUUUACGAUGCAAACAUGUCUGGAAUCAGUAAAGGAAUGUUUCCAACAGAUGGACUUAGAAUACCAGUAUGAGAAUAAGCCUAUGCCUCUGAAUGAAGAUAUGCUGAACGUCCUCGAUUCCGUUUGAAAUUCUAAAAAUAUGGAUUAUAGGCCUAACAAGUAUCCAUUCCGCCGAAUCACAGUUGGAAACGAAAAGAAAAAGAUAAUACUCUCAAGAAGAAACGCAAUGGAUAUUGACUAAAGAUGCCCUCCCAAAGAAGCUGACACAUAUUGGCAACAAUGUCUUUGUUAUACGCACGCUUUUCAAUGGAAAAAUCAUGCGUAUCAGCAAGUACGCCAAGUACAGGAGUUUAUAUUGUCCAACUCACAAUAUUGUGAAUUUAGAGACAUCGUGUUUAGAAUUCUUCUCUUAAUACAUCCCACAUGACUUAGCCACAAUGCAUCUGCAACUGUACAAGAAUUUCAGUGCUGAGUAUGAUGGUUCUCACUUCACGCUAAUGCAAAUGUCACUUAUUCGUCUACCAACGUUUGAACUUUGGUCAAGCCUACGAAAACAUAUCGGAGUAAUCUAUUAAUGACGAAAAGCUUCCAGAACCCUUUGACAUUUUGGGAGGAACAUUAUGUCUACAUAUUGUUCGUAAGACAUAACUAGAAGAGCUGAUACAACAAGACAAAAUUUGAAGUAUCCUAAAAUCAAACAGCGCGAACAUCUCGUUAUUCAUAACAAAGGAAAUGUUAAUUGCUUGGCUCUGAGAUUAAAUUCCGGCUAUAUAGCCAGACAACUUUAUGGGAACUUAUGGGCAAAACAGUGUUAUUUAUCUCUGCUUAAACCCGCUCAUAAUAUUACAAAAAAGCUUUUAAAUCUGUUUGUUCCAAACUAAUGCUCUGAAGUGAAAGAAGCAGCUGAAGAGAAAGAAUUGAAUCAGAAGAUUUUUGCCUGCCGAUUUGGGAAAAAUACACGAUGGUAUUGAAUAUUAUGAACUUUUAGAAAGUAAAUAAAAUUACAUGUUUAUAAUAGUUUCUUUGCUGUAUGAUAAUUAAGUUAAAAAUAAAUGCACAUUAAGAAUAUGAAAACAGUAUAAAUACGCAUGCACAUAUAUUUCCUGUCAAUAACAUGGA
Molecule: long non-coding RNA, 1736 nt
Organism: Stegodyphus dumicola
Lineage: Eukaryota; Metazoa; Arthropoda; Arachnida; Araneae; Eresidae
Source: RefSeq, a predicted model, not a curated record